This 904-nucleotide small RNA is filed under the name uncultured bacterium. Its description in RNAcentral is "bacterial SSU rRNA". The stretch from base 1 to 489 matches the Rfam family "Bacterial small subunit ribosomal RNA", at positions 1045 to 1533 of the family's 1533-position model. The record is from RNAcentral.
AUGGCUGUCGUCAGCUCGUGUCGUGAGAUGUAUGGUUAAGUCCAGUAACGAGCGCAACCCCUAUCCUUAUUUGCCAGCGCAUAAUGGCGGGAACUAUAAGGAGACUGCCGGUCAUAAACCGGAGGAAGGCGGGGACGACGUCAAGUCAUCAUGGCCCUUAUGGGUAGGGCUACACACGUGAUACAAUGGGUGGUACAGAGGGUCGCCAAAGCGCGAGCUGGAGCCAAACCCUUAAAACCAUUCUUAGUCCGGAUUGGAGUCUGCAACUCGACUCCAUGAAGUCGGAAUCGCUAGUAAUCGCGAAUCAGAAUGUCGCGGUGAAUACGUUCUCGGGCCUUGUACACACCGCCCGUCACGUCAUGGAAGUGGGUUGCACCAGAAGUGGCUUGUUUAACCUUCGGGAAAACGGUCACCACGGUGUGAUUCACAACUGGGACGAAGUCGUAACAAGGUAGCCCUAGGGGAACCUGGGGCUGGAUCACCUCCUUAAAAAAUAAUCGCUUAGGAUAGGCGUUCACACGAAUAACUUGCUUUUACCUAAAUCAUUUCUUUACAGAUUUGAGAUUAAGGAGCGUUCUUUAACAUUUUUAUAAGUUCAAUCAAGUCACAUCAUAGUGUCUUUGUUUUUUAAUUUAGAUAUGAAUGAUGUGCAAAUGUCACCAAACCCGUCAUGUUCUAGAACAUAAGUUUGGUGUACAUACUGCAAAGUAAUUUUGGCGAAUGACAAUAGAUACUUGAAGAACAUUAAUCAUUAAGUUGUUUGAUGUAAUAUGGUCAAGUAAUUAAGCGCAUACGGUGGAUGCCUUGGCAGCUAGAGGCGAUGAAGGACGUAGUAACUUGCGAUAAGCUUCGGGGAGCCGGUAAACAGGCUUUGAUCCGAAGAUUUCCGAAUGGGGAAACCCGG